Molecule: ribosomal RNA, 253 nt
Filed under: uncultured bacterium
Lineage: Bacteria
Description: partial 16S ribosomal RNA
Rfam family: Bacterial small subunit ribosomal RNA
Source: RNAcentral
UACGGAGGGGGCUAGCGUUGUUCGGAAUUACUGGGCGUAAAGCGCACGUAGGCGGCUUUGUAAGUCAGAGGUGAAAUCCCGGGGCUCAACUCCGGAACUGCCUUUGAGACUGCAUCGCUUGAAUCCAGGAGAGGUGAGUGGAAUUCCGAGUGUAGAGGUGAAAUUCGUAGAUAUUCGGAAGAACACCAGUGGCGAAGGCGGCUCACUGGACCGACACUGACGCUGAGGCGCGAAAGCUAGGGGAGCGAACAGG